Molecule: ribosomal RNA, 508 nt
Filed under: Salmonella enterica
Lineage: Bacteria; Pseudomonadati; Pseudomonadota; Gammaproteobacteria; Enterobacterales; Enterobacteriaceae
Description: bacterial SSU rRNA
Rfam family: Bacterial small subunit ribosomal RNA
Source: RNAcentral
AAAUUGAAGAGUUUGAUCAUGGCUCAGAUUGAACGCUGGCGGCAGGCCUAACACAUGCAAGUCGAACGGUAGCACAGAGAGCUUGCUCUCGGGUGACGAGUGGCGGACGGGUGAGUAAUGUCUGGGAAACUGCCUGAUGGAGGGGGAUAACUACUGGAAACGGUGGCUAAUACCGCAUAACGUCGCAAGACCAAAGAGGGGGACCUUCGGGCCUCUUGCCAUCAGAUGUGCCCAGAUGGGAUUAGCUUGUUGGUGGGGUAACGGCUCACCAAGGCGACGAUCCCUAGCUGGUCUGAGAGGAUGACCAGCCACACUGGAACUGAGACACGGUCCAGACUCCUACGGGAGGCAGCAGUGGGGAAUAUUGCACAAUGGGCGCAAGCCUGAUGCAGCCAUGCCGCGUGUAUGAAGAAGGCCUUCGGGUUGUAAAGUACUUUCAGCGGGGAGGAAGGGAGUGAGGUUAAUAACCUUAUUCAUUGACGUUACCCGCAGAAGAAGCACCGGCUAA